Long non-coding RNA from Chelonia mydas (Green sea turtle), 2089 nucleotides. RefSeq lists it as uncharacterized. The transcript has 2 exons. Lineage: Eukaryota; Metazoa; Chordata; Testudines; Cheloniidae. The record is from RefSeq and is a predicted model, not a curated record.
UUUAGGUCUUAAGAAUCCAAUCAGGGUUAUGGAGCAGAGGCAUCCGCCUCAGUGCCAAUCCCAGGCCUCAUUCAGGUGAACUGAAAAGUAAAAGUUUGGCUCUGGGCUCUUGACUGCUCCUUUUUGAUGUAGAAAAAUUGCCUCCAAUUUUAGUAUUUUUUUUAUUUUUAUUUAUUUAUUUAAAGUUUCUCCCCUUAUUUUUAAUGUUGGAAACAUUGGCUCCUCACUUCACUCCCCAUAUGCCAGAUCCAAAGACAACUGAAAAGAAGAUGAUCAUUUUCUUCAAUUGAUCUUAACCAUACCAGUGCAAGUUUUUCAACAUAGACAAGGCCUGAGAGGAAAGGGGACGCUGAGUCUUAUGCUAUCUAUGAAUUAGCACCUCUACACUUUCAUAUACGUUGGAGAGGGACACCUACAACUCAGAUUGCAGCUUCUUGAGACAUCACUGUUCAGGAUCUCCAAAAAUCUUACUGAGAUCCUCCAGCAAAAGGUGGGAAGCGAGAAACUAACAUUUCUACUAUUUAAAAAGGAAAAGCAGAAACAAAGUUUGACUAGUCUUUAUACAUCGUAUAGACGUAUGAAAGGACAAAAACAUUUUGCUUUGCAGUUCACUUUUAAUAACAACACAGACUCAUACACCAGAAAUCCCCUAGUUAAAAGCUAAAAUAACAUAAAGUUCAGAGCCUCACCUUUAAACCACUUCUGCAAUUCCCAGUGCUGGGCCAGCUGUGUGCCAGACAGCUCCUUCAAUGUAAAUUGAAAGUAGUGUGAAGGCCAAUGUAAUUUAUGCUGACAGUAAAUCUCCCCAAUGGGCCAAUAUAGCAACUGGGGAUCAGCAAGAUGUAGGGAAAUCUUGGCCAUCUCUCUAUUUCCCAACCACAACCUCCGUAUUAGCCAUAGGUGCGAUGCAGGAGCUCUCACACCAUCUCUAUACCAUUAGUGUUUAUCCCACACUCAGGUUAUGUUCCCAUGACCAACUGUGCCAGCUUUAAGGUCACUUUGAAUUUGGCGUGUGAUGACCCAGGCCAUAAUCUUCAACCAAGGUAUAUAACAGAUUUAUUUUUAAACAUUUCAUCUCUUUUUUAUUCAUCUGCAUUGAAGACUGUUUUAACAAGUGAAAAAAAUCAUUUCACCAUCACUGCCAAGGUACAUGAAAGACACAUUCUGAUAUAUAGGGAGAAAUGUUAAUGGCUUGCCUGCUCAUCUUUAUGACUAGAUUAAUUAAAUGUAACUCUGAGGACAAGAAGCAAAUAUUUAUUAAUGUUUAUGUUUUAGAAACAUAUGCCUUAAAUUUGCCUUUGUUAAAAUAGGGCCCCAAUCCGGCAGGCAUGUACUUAACUUUUAGCACAUAAGUAGUCCUAAUCAUGGCCUAAAAUGUUAAUAGGCAAAAACAAAAAGCUAAAUACAAAAACACUGUUAAAAAAAUCAUUCUUUGAGCUAACCUUCCAUUGCGUUCAGCACUUCCAACAGAAGCUUUAAGUAUAGUUAUUUCAGUUUAUCAUUGACUUGAUUAUAUUUUCAUUCCACCCUGUUAAAUAAAUUACCCUCUCUUUUAAUCCACUCUCCCUAGUUGAAAUCUUUUAAGCAAUACUUUAGUCACAAUGUGCUCGCUAAUUUAAUCCAUGAGCUACAAGAAUUUAUUCCUACUGACAAAAAAAUAUUGCUAACUGUGAUUAGACGUCUUGAUUCCUAGAAGUCAAAUUGUCAUGUCAUGAUUACAUUGUAUAUAAUUGACUCCAAAAGUUGUAAUAGUUAUUUUCCAGAUAAAUUAUUGAUUGGUUUUUCCUACUUCUUAAAUCCAAAGCUUGGUUACAUUAGCAACUUUCCCAUAUCCACUGGGAUUUAAAAUGUUUCUGAGCUAUAGGACAUCUGCUAAAAGAAAGAAGGCACAUCAUGCUGUGCAAGGUAGGACUUUUCACAUAGUUAUCAUGUCGAUAGGUAAUGUUGCUAUUUUAAGACACAGCAUUUAAUAAAUUGAUUGUUAUCUACAAAGGUCUAAUUUCAAAGACUACUCUUUUUUAAGCAACACAAAGCAAAGGAUUGUAUUUAAUGGUAGAGCAAAUUGCAUGAAUAAAGAACAGUUUCAUUU